AGUGAACGCUGGCGGUAGGCCUAACACAUGCAAGUCGAACGGCAGCACAGUAAGAGCUUGCUCUUACGGGUGGCGAGUGGCGGACGGGAGAGGAAAACAUUGGAAUCUACUUUUUCGUGGGGGAUAACGUAGGGAAACCUACGCCAAUAUAGCAUACGACCUACGGGUGAAAGCAGGGGAUCUUCGGACCUUGCGCGAUUGAAUGAGCCGAUGUCGGAUUAGCUAGUUGGCGGGGUAAAGGCCCACCAAGGGGACGAUCCGUAGCUGGUCGGAGAGGAUGGUCGGCCACACUGGAACUGAGACACGGUCCAGACUCCUACGGGAGGCAGCAGUCGGGAAUAUGGGACAAUGGGCGCAAGCCUGAUCCAGCCAUACCGCGUGUGUGAAGAAGGCCUUCGGGUUGUAAAGCCCUUUUGUUGGGAAAGAAAAGCAGCAGGUUAAUACCCCGCUGUUCUGACGGUACCCAAAGAAUAAGCACCGGCUAACUUCGUG
This 492-nucleotide ribosomal RNA is filed under the name uncultured bacterium. Its description in RNAcentral is "partial 16S ribosomal RNA". It matches the Rfam family "Bacterial small subunit ribosomal RNA", at positions 29 to 507 of the family's 1533-position model. The record is from RNAcentral.